AUUGAACGCUGGCGGCAGGCCUAACACAUGCAAGUCGAACGGAGCGGGGGACGGGUGAGUAAUGCCUAGGAAUCUGCCUGGGCGUGGGGGAGAGCUUUCAGAACCGGGAGCUAAUACGGCAUGCUCUCGGCUGCACCUAGGUCGGAUUGGCUUGUUGGUGGGGUAAAGGGCUACCAAGGCGACGACCCGUAACUGGUCUGAGAGGAUGAUCAGUCAAACUGGAACUGAGACACGGUCCAGACUCCUACGGGAGGCAGCAGUGGGGAAUAUUGGACAAUGGGCGAAAGCCUGAUCCAGCCAUGCCGCGUGUGUGAAGAAGGUCUUCGGAUUGUAAAGCACUUUAAGUUGGGAGGCGUUACCAACAGAAUAAGCACCGGCUAACUUCGUGCCAGCAGCCGCGGUAAUUC
This 407-nucleotide ribosomal RNA is filed under the name uncultured bacterium. Its description in RNAcentral is "partial 16S ribosomal RNA". It matches the Rfam family "Bacterial small subunit ribosomal RNA", at positions 30 to 526 of the family's 1533-position model. The record is from RNAcentral.